UCGGGUGUCCAGGCGCCGGAUCUGAGCGAACGUCUCAGCCGGUUAGCUCAUGGGUGGAACAUUGACAUUGGUGCGGAGCCGAACGGCUCGAACUCAGUACGCCUCCUCGGAGGAAGGAACGGUUCGGAUCACUAGGCGCCGCACAUGCACGCUGUUGGGUCCUGAGGGACCGGGCCUCAUCGGAUGAUGAGAACUGGACCUCUGGACCUUUUCUUGUCGGCAUCACUUGCCGAGCGGAGAAGGUACCGCCCGUACUUUGAGAACUACACAGUGGACGCGAGCAUCUUAGAUUCGAACCUUCGGGUUCGGAUCACAAAAGAUGAUCUGAUUUAUUAGAUCAUUGGUCAAUCUGUGUCGAACCUGCUUCGGUAGGUACGACGCCGAUCGAUUCAAACUCAUGUGAU
RNAcentral lists this unclassified non-coding RNA (404 nucleotides) under uncultured Leifsonia sp. RNAcentral's name for it is "partial 16S-23S ribosomal RNA intergenic spacer". The record is from RNAcentral. Lineage: Bacteria; Bacillati; Actinomycetota; Actinomycetes; Micrococcales; Microbacteriaceae.